RNAcentral lists this ribosomal RNA (497 nucleotides) under uncultured bacterium. Its description in RNAcentral is "partial 16S ribosomal RNA". It matches the Rfam family "Bacterial small subunit ribosomal RNA", at positions 28 to 507 of the family's 1533-position model. The record is from RNAcentral.
GAUGAACGCUGGCGGCGUGCCUAAUACAUGCAAGUCGAGCGAACAGACGAGGAGCUUGCUCCUCUGACGUUAGCGGCGGACGGGUGAGUAACACGUGGAUAACCUACCUAUAAGACUGGGAUAACUUCGGGAAACCGGAGCUAAUACCGGAUAAUAUAUUGAACCGCAUGGUUAAAUAGUGAAAGAGGGUUUUCCUGUAACUAUUAGACGGAUCCGCGCCGCAUUAGCUAGUUGGUAAGGUAACGGCCUACCAAGGCAACGAUGCGUAGCCGACCUGAGAGGGUGAUCGGCCACACUGGAACUGAGACACGGUCCAGACUCCUACGGGAGGCAGCAGUAGGGAAUCUUCCGCAAUGGGCGAAAGCUUGACGGAGCAACACCGCGUGAGUGAUGAAGGUCUUCGGAUCGUAAAACUCUGUUAUUAGGGAAGAACAAAUGUGUAAGUAACUAUGCACGUCUUGACGGUACCUAAUCAGAAAGCCACGGCUAACUACGUG